CUACGGGACGCUCCAGUGGGGAAUAUUGGACAAUGGAGGCAACCCUGAUCCAGCAAUUCCGCGUGUAUGAAGAAGGCCUUCGGGUUGUAAAGUACUUUCAGCAGGGAAGAAGUAAGUGACGGUACCUGCAGAAGAAGCCACGGCUAAUUACGUGCCAGCAGCCGCGGUAAUACGUAAGUGGCAAGCGUUAUCCGGAAUCACUGGGCGUAAAGGGCAUCUAGGCGGCGAUACAAGUCAGGGGUGAAAAGUCUGGGCUCAACCGAGGCCUUGCCUUUGAAACUGUAUUGCUAGAGUCCGAGAGAGGAGGGCGGAACUACAAGUGUAGCGGUGGAAUGCGUAGAUAUUUGUAGGAAUGCCGAUGACGAAGGUAGCUCUCUGGAUCGGUACUGACGCUGAAGUGCGAAAGCUAGGGGAGCAAACAGGAUUAGAUACCCUGGUAGUC
This 442-nucleotide ribosomal RNA is filed under the name uncultured bacterium. Its description in RNAcentral is "partial 16S ribosomal RNA". It matches the Rfam family "Bacterial small subunit ribosomal RNA", at positions 339 to 795 of the family's 1533-position model. The record is from RNAcentral.